GGUGCAGUGGCGAAACGGGAACGCGGCCGCCUGCAAAGCGGUUAUGAGCCGGAUCGACACCGGCCUGCACCUCCA
RNAcentral lists this transfer RNA (75 nucleotides) under Xanthobacteraceae bacterium. RNAcentral's name for it is "tRNA-Cys". It matches the Rfam family "tRNA". From Rfam's summary of the family: Transfer RNA (tRNA) molecules are approximately 80 nucleotides in length. Their secondary structure includes four short double-helical elements and three loops (D, anti-codon, and T loops). Lineage: Bacteria; Pseudomonadati; Pseudomonadota; Alphaproteobacteria; Hyphomicrobiales; Xanthobacteraceae. The record is from RNAcentral.